GACGAACGCUGGCGGCGUGCCUAACACAUGCAAGUCGAGCGGAGAAUGCGGACAUGUUUACAUGGAAGUGUUCUUAGCGGCGGACGGGUGAGUAACACGUGGGUAACCUGCCUCAAAGUGGGGGAUAGCCUUCCGAAAGGAAGAUUAAUACCGCAUAAGCCUACAGUACCGCAUGGUACAGCAGGAAAAGGAGCAAUCCGCUUUGAGAUGGACCCGCGGCGCAUUAGCUAGUUGGUGAGGUAACGGCUCACCAAGGCGACGAUGCGUAGCCGACCUGAGAGGGUGAUCGGCCACAUUGGAACUGAGACACGGUCCAGACUCCUACGGGAGGCAGCAGUGGGGAAUAUUGCACAAUGGGCGAAAGCCUGAUGCAGCAACGCCGCGUGAGUGAUGAAGGC
Molecule: ribosomal RNA, 398 nt
Filed under: uncultured bacterium
Lineage: Bacteria
Description: bacterial SSU rRNA
Rfam family: Bacterial small subunit ribosomal RNA
Source: RNAcentral